GACGAACGCUGGCGGCGUGCUUAACACAUGCAAGUCGAACGGUAAGGCUCCAGCUUGCUGGGGUACACGAGUGGCGAACGGGUGAGUAACACGUGGGUGACCUGCCCUGCACUUCGGGAUAAGCCUGGGAAACUGGGUCUAAUACCGGAUAGGACCGCACCGUGAGGGUGUGGUGGAAAGUUUUUUCGGUGUGGGAUGGGCCCGCGGCCUAUCAGCUUGUUGGUGGGGUAAUGGCCUACCAAGGCGGCGACGGGUAGCCGGCCUGAGAGGGUGGACGGCCACAUUGGGACUGAGACACGGCCCAAACUCCUACGGGAGGCAGCAGUGGGGAAUAUUGCACAAUGGGCGGAAGCCUGAUGCAGCGACGCCGCGUGGGGGAUGACGGCCUUCGGGUUGUAAACUCCUUUCACCAUCGACGAAGGGUUUCUGACGGUAGAUGGAGAAGAAGCACCGGCUAACUACGUGCCAGCAGCCGCGGUAAUACGUAGGGUGCGAGCGUUGUCCGGAAUUACUGGGCGUAAAGAGCUCGUAGGUGGUUUGUCGCGUCGUCUGUGAAAUUCCGGGGCUUAACUCCGGGCGUGCAGGCGAUACGGGCAUAACUUGAGUACUGUAGGGGAGACUGGAAUUCCUGGUGUAGCGGUGAAAUGCGCAGAUAUCAGGAGGAACACCGGUGGCGAAGGCGGGUCUCUGGGCAGUAACUGACGCUGAGGAGCGAAAGCAUGGGGAGCGAACAGGAUUAGAUACCCUGGUAGUCCAUGCCGUAAACGGUGGGCGCUAGGUGUGGGUUUCCUUCCACGGGAUCCGUGCCGUAGCUAACGCAUUAAGCGCCCCGCCUGGGGAGUACGGCCGCAAGGCUAAAACUCAAAGGAAUUGACGGGGGCCCGCACAAGCGGCGGAGCAUGUGGAUUAAUUCGAUGCAACGCGAAGAACCUUACCUGGGCUUGACAUAUACAGGAUCGCGCCAGAGAUGGUGUUUCCCUUGUGGCUUGUAUACAGGUGGUGCAUGGUUGUCGUCAGCUCGUGUCGUGAGAUGUUGGGUUAAGUCCCGCAACGAGCGCAACCCUUGUCUUAUGUUGCCAGCACGUUGUGGUGGGGACUCGUAAGAAACUGCCGGGGUUAACUCGGAGGAAGGUGGGGAUGACGUCAAAUCAUCAUGCCCCUUAUGUCCAGGGCUUCACACAUGCUACAAUGGUCGGUACAGUGGGUUGCCAGUCCGUGAGGGCGAGCUAAUCCCGCAAAGCCGGUCUCAGUUCGGAUCGGGGUCUGCAACUCGACCCCGUGAAGUCGGAGUCGCUAGUAAUCGCAGAUCAGCAACGCUGCGGUGAAUACGUUCCCGGGCCU
This 1341-nucleotide ribosomal RNA is filed under the name uncultured bacterium. RNAcentral describes it as "16S ribosomal RNA". It matches the Rfam family "Bacterial small subunit ribosomal RNA", at positions 28 to 1381 of the family's 1533-position model. The record is from RNAcentral.